This 484-nucleotide ribosomal RNA is filed under the name uncultured bacterium. RNAcentral describes it as "partial 16S ribosomal RNA". It matches the Rfam family "Bacterial small subunit ribosomal RNA", at positions 30 to 507 of the family's 1533-position model. The record is from RNAcentral.
AUUGAACGCUGGCGGCAGGCCUAACACAUGCAAGUCGAGCGGAUGAAGGGAGCUUGCUCCUGGAUUCAGCGGCGGACGGGUGAGUAAUGCCUAGGAAUCUGCCUGGUAGUGGGGGAUAACGUCCGGAAACGGGCGCUAAUACCGCAUACGUCCUGAGGGAGAAAGUGGGGGAUCUUCGGACCUCACGCUAUCAGAUGAGCCUAGGUCGGAUUAGCUAGUUGGUGGGGUAAAGGCCUACCAAGGCGACGAUCCGUAACUGGUCUGAGAGGAUGAUCAGUCACACUGGAACUGAGAAACGGUCCAGACUCCUAAGGGAGGCAGCAGUGGGGAAUAUUGGACAAUGGGCGAAAGCCUGAUCCAGCCAUGCCGCGUGUGUGAAGAAGGUCUUCGGAUUGUAAAGCACUUUAAGUUGGGAGGAAGGGCAGUAAGUUAAUACCUUGCUGUUUUGACGUUACCAACAGAAUAAGCACCGGCUAAAUUCGUG